Molecule: ribosomal RNA, 1346 nt
Filed under: uncultured bacterium
Lineage: Bacteria
Description: partial 16S ribosomal RNA
Rfam family: Bacterial small subunit ribosomal RNA
Source: RNAcentral
GACGAACGCUGGCGGCGUGCUUAACACAUGCAAGUCGAACGGAGAGGCCCUGCUUUUGUGGGGUGCUCGAGUGGCGAACGGGUGAGUAACACGUGAGUAACCUGCCCUUGACUUUGGGAUAACUUCAGGAAACUGGGGCUAAUACCGGAUAGGAGCUCCUGCUGCAUGGUGGGGGUUGGAAAGUUUCGGCGGUUGGGGAUGGACUCGCGGCUUAUCAGCUUGUUGGUGGGGUAGUGGCUUACCAAGGCUUUGACGGGUAGCCGGCCUGAGAGGGUGACCGGCCACAUUGGGACUGAGAUACGGCCCAGACUCCUACGGGAGGCAGCAGUGGGGAAUAUUGCACAAUGGGCGGAAGCCUGAUGCAGCAACGCCGCGUGCGGGAUGACGGCCUUCGGGUUGUAAACCGCUUUCGCCUGUGACGAAGCGUGAGUGACGGUAAUGGGUAAAGAAGCACCGGCUAACUACGUGCCAGCAGCCGCGGUGAUACGUAGGGUGCGAGCGUUGUCCGGAUUUAUUGGGCGUAAAGGGCUCGUAGGUGGUUGAUCGCGUCGGAAGUGUAAUCUUGGGGCUUAACCCUGAGCGUGCUUUCGAUACGGGUUGACUUGAGGAAGGUAGGGGAGAAUGGAAUUCCUGGUGGAGCGGUGGAAUGCGCAGAUAUCAGGAGGAACACCAGUGGCGAAGGCGGUUCUCUGGGCCUUUCCUGACGCUGAGGAGCGAAAGCGUGGGGAGCGAACAGGCUUAGAUACCCUGGUAGUCCACGCUGUAAACGGUGGGUACUAGGUGUGGGGUCCAUUCCACGGGUUCCGUGCCGUAGCUAACGCUUUAAGUACCCCGCCUGGGGAGUACGGCCGCAAGGCUAAAACUCAAAGGAAUUGACGGGGCCCCGCACAAGCGGCGGAGCAUGCGGAUUAAUUCGAUGCAACGCGUAGAACCUUACCUGGGUUUGACAUGGAUCGGGAGUGCUCAGAGAUGGGUGUGCCUCUUUUGGGGUCGGUUCACAGGUGGUGCAUGGCUGUCGUCAGCUCGUGUCGUGAGAUGUUGGGUUAAGUCCCGCAACGAGCGCAACCCUUGUUCACUGUUGCCAGCACGUUAUGGUGGGGACUCAGUGGAGACCGCCGGGGUCAACUCGGAGGAAGGUGGGGAUGACGUCAAGUCAUCAUGCCCCUUAUGUCCAGGGCUUCACGCAUGCUACAAUGGCUGGUACAGAGAGUGGCGAGCCUGUGAGGGUGAGCGAAUCUCGGAAAGUCGGUCUCAGUUCGGAUUGGGGUCUGCAACUCGACCUCAUGAAGUCGGAGUCGCUAGUAAUCGCAGAUCAGCAACGCUGCGGUGAAUACGUUCCCGGGGCU